Ciona intestinalis (vase tunicate) is the source of this 253-nucleotide non-coding RNA. The record is from RefSeq and is a predicted model, not a curated record. Lineage: Eukaryota; Metazoa; Chordata; Ascidiacea; Phlebobranchia; Cionidae.
AGAAACGUUGUUUAUAUAGAGAUAUACCAUAGUAUACUGAAGUGACUUCAGUAUACUAUAGAUAUACUUCAGUAUACUAUAGAUAUAUACAGUAAAAGUGGCUGUACACAGUAUCCGGCAUGCGAAUUCGCUUACAAAUCGUGCAAACCCAUUACCCAGUUCCGCAUGCGGUAGCGAAAUCCGAACAAAACGGACAAAACGGACGAAUUUCGGAUACUGUGUACCCAGCUUAGACUUUUACAAUUUUGGUCAG